GUGGGAGAGAGGGAGACAGACAGGGUCUCUGAGGGAGAGAGGGAGACAGACAGGGUCUCUGAGGGAGAGAGGGAGACAGACAGGGUCUCUGAGGGAGAGAGGGAGACAGACAGGGUCUCUGAGGGAGAGAGGGAGACAGGAUCUCUGAGGGAGAGGCAGCAGAAGAAGUAGGUAUGGGGUGAGUGACGGACUGAGAGACAGUAACUAUUUGUUAGAGACAGAUUGAGAGAUAGAGCGAAGAGUCGGGAUGGUGAGAGACGGAAUGAUAGAGGAUGAAAGAAGAGAGAGAAGGUGAGAUGGACUGAGAAAAGAUCUUUGUGUGACAUAUUGGUCAAGAGAGAGAGAGACAGAAUGAUAAAGCAGGGUAGAGCAGGGUAGGAUAGAGCAGGGAAGGGUAGAGAAGGGCAGGAUAGGCAGGGCAGGAUAGAGCAGGGAAGGGUAGAGCAGGGCAGGAUAGAGCGGGGCAGGAUAGAGCAGGGCUGGAUAGAGCAGGGCAGAAUAGAGCAGGGCAGAAUAGAGCAGGGCAGGGUAGAGCAGGGCAGGGUAGCGCAGGGCAGGAUAGAACAUGGCAGGAUAGAGCAGGGCAGGAUAGAGUAGGGCAGGGUAGAGCAGGGCAGAAUAGAGCAGGGCAGGGUAGAGUAGGGCAGGGUAGAGCAGGGCAGGGUAGAGCAGGGAAGGAUAGAGCAGGGCAGGGUAGAGCAGGGCAGAAUAGAGCAGGGCAGGGUAGAGCAGGGCAGGAUAGAGCAGGGCAGGGUAGAGCAGGGCAGAAUAGAGCAGGGCAGGGUAGGGUAGGGCAGGGUAGAGCAGGGCAGGAUAGAGCAGGGCAGGGUAGAGCAUGGCAGGAUAGAGCAUUUCAGGAUAGAGCAGGGCAGGGUAGAGCAGGGCAGGAUAGAGCAUGGAAUAGAGCAGGGCAGGGUAGAGCAGGGCAGGAUAGAGCAGGGCAGGGUAGAGCAUGGCAGGGAUAGAGCAUUUCAGGAUAGAGCAGGGCAGGGUAGAGCAGGGCAGAAUAGAGCAGGGCAGAGUAGAGCAGGGCAGGGGAUAGAGCAGGGCAGGAUAGAGCAGGGAAGGAUAGAGCAGGGCAGGGUAGAGCAGGGCAGGGUAGAGUAGGGCAGGGUAGAGCAGGGCAGGAUAGAGCAGGGCAGGGUAGAGCAGGGCAGGGUAGAGCAGGGCAGGGUAGAGCAGGGCAGGGUAGAGCAGGGCAGGGUAGAGCAGGGCAGGGUAGAGUAGGGCAGGGUAGAGCAGGGCAGAAUAGAGCAGGGCAGGGUAGAGUAGGGCAGGGUAGAGCAGGGCAGGGUAGAGCAGGGCAGGGUAGAGCAGGGCAGGAGCAGGGCAGGGUAGGGGGCAGGGUAGAGCAGGGCAGGUUAGAGCAGGGCAGAAUAGAGCAGGGCAGGGUAGAGUAGGGCAGGGUAGAGCAGGGCAGGAUAGAGCAGGGCAUGGUAGAGCAGGGCAGAAUAGAGCAGGGCAGGGUAGCAUAGGGCAGGGUAGAGCAGGGCAGGGUAGAGCAGGGAAGGAUAGAGUAGGGCAGGGUAGAGCAGGGCAGAAUAGAGCAGGGCAGGGUAGAGCAGGGCAGGGUAGAGCAGGGCAGGGUAGAGCAGGGCAGGAUAGAGCAGGGCAG
This is a long non-coding RNA of Oncorhynchus tshawytscha (Chinook salmon), 1615 nucleotides long. The record is from Ensembl. Lineage: Eukaryota; Metazoa; Chordata; Actinopteri; Salmoniformes; Salmonidae.